Cyprinus carpio (common carp) is the source of this 632-nucleotide long non-coding RNA. RefSeq lists it as uncharacterized. Lineage: Eukaryota; Metazoa; Chordata; Actinopteri; Cypriniformes; Cyprinidae. The record is from RefSeq and is a predicted model, not a curated record.
GUGGAAACAGCGUCGAUGGCGUGUGUGUUUGGGGGUGAAGGGGAUGUUCACUGACUGCACAUACGUUUGGGGUCUAUGACUCUCACAGGGUCUGUGGUUUGACAGCGGUCCCCUGUGUAUCCUGGAACGCACCUGGAUACUGUAUGGCUUGGCUUCCUCCUUCAAUUUGCUUAGACUGGAAGAGGACUCUUCGUGGGACUUUUUCUUCUGUUUUAUCAUCCAGGUCACAUGGCCCCUGAUGGAUGGCAGAAAUGGAAAGAGAUGUACAGUCCCAGAGGAACGCUGCCGUCUGACUGCGACUGCAUUCACAGUACAGAGAGAGACAGAGAGAAGCUCCUCUUGACUGCAGUGCUUACUGAUGAGAACAGAGACCUGACUUCAGCACUCGGGUUUGUGCUUAUUCACCGAAUUGGACAGUAAGACCAUGAAUACCCCGGAGUGUGCUGUCAGAGAGAGUCAUGCACGCAAAAAACCUUUGCUAGCAGUAUGUGAUCUGAAAUGAGGAAGCAAAGUCCUCACUGCCUUUAAUGCUUUAGUUUAAUCUAACGUAAAUUAAUGUUUCAGUUAUGCUUUAUCUUACCACAUCUUUCAGGUUAAAUAAAUAAAUGUUGCCUACACUUUCAAAAAUCCAA